This 74-nucleotide transfer RNA is filed under the name Herbiconiux ginsengi. It matches the Rfam family "tRNA". Rfam says of the family: Transfer RNA (tRNA) molecules are approximately 80 nucleotides in length. The record is from Rfam by way of RNAcentral. Lineage: Bacteria; Bacillati; Actinomycetota; Actinomycetes; Micrococcales; Microbacteriaceae. RNAcentral also lists the same sequence under 4 other names.
GCCCCCAUAGCCCAAUUGGCAGAGGCAGACGACUUAAAAUCGUCACAGUGAGGGUUCGAGUCCCUCUGGGGGUA